AGCUUUAUGAUUUAUAUAAAGUUUUACCUGCCCAGUGAUAAAUUUAACGGCCGCAGUACUUUGACUGUGCUAAGGUAGCAUAAUAAAUUGACUUUUAAUUGGAGCCUUGAAUGAAAGGAUAUAUGGAUAAUUACUGUCUCUUAAUAAUUUUAUUUAAAUUGCUUAGAAGGUGAAAAUACCUUUGUUUAUAUAAUAGACGAGAAGACCCUAGGAGCUUUAACUUUUUUUUGUUGGGGCGACACUAUAACAUUUAACUUAUAGAAUUAUUUAACGAAAAAUUUUAAUAAUAAAUAAGCUACCCUAGGGAUAACAGCAUAAUUAUUUUUAGUUUGUGACCUCGAUGUUGGACUAGGAAAUUUUAAUAUUAUCCAUAUUAAAAAUUUGUUCUGUUCGAACUUUCCUCCUACAU
RNAcentral lists this ribosomal RNA (409 nucleotides) under Boettgerilla pallens. RNAcentral's name for it is "partial large subunit ribosomal RNA". It matches the Rfam family "Bacterial large subunit ribosomal RNA", at positions 1832 to 2601 of the family's 2925-position model. The record is from RNAcentral. Lineage: Eukaryota; Metazoa; Mollusca; Gastropoda; Stylommatophora; Boettgerillidae.